CUCUUUCCAGCCGCCCUGUGGGGAAGGUGUCUUGCUUCCCCUUCACCUUCCACCAUCAGUGUAAGUUUCCUGAGGAUUCCCCAGCCGUGCUGAACUAGAUGUGGUCUCACUGUGUUGCCUAGGCUAGUCUCAAACUCCUGGCCUCAAACUAUCAUCCCACCUUAGCCUCCCAAAGUGCCGGGAUCACAAAUUUCUUCCACCGGUUGUGAUUUUGUCCCAGGAGAAUGUGUGCACACGGUGGCCACCAGAGGGAGCCCUUCAGCGACAGAGGAUGAGAGCUGCAGGAUGGUCAGAGGAAACCCAAUCCACAUUGGAACAAGGCUUCUUAAGACAUGGAUGUAAUUUGGUGGUGCGGAAAAAUCAGAGUGUUCAAAACAGACAAUGGACAAUGUGACACAAAGCCUUGAAAAUCACUUGUUUGUCAGAAAUUGUCUGGUUGUUGCUCUUGGGAAUACUGCAACCAUCACCAAGUGAACAAGACUGGGCAACGCUGUGAGAUAAUGGGAGACAUAUGGCCUUUUACCACUGGUAUGGAAUCAACCACCAGACCUAGGAGUAAUGACAUUUUGACCCAGCUGAGCAGUUAAGUGGGCCCAGACUAGAACUGCUCAGCUGACUCAGAAUUAUCAAAAAUAACAUAUUUUGUUGUUUAAGUCAAAAUGUUUUGGGGCGAUCACGACACAGCAAGAAUUAACUGACACAGUUCCCACUUGUGAUUUCCCUAUAAUAUUCUCUUUUGCUUUAUACCACUGGAUACAUGUUCUGUGCUAUGGUUGUGGCAGAGAAGGAGGUGGUAGUAGUGAAGAUAAGACAAGCAAUUGGGAUCAAGUUGCCCAGCACUACGCAAUCAACUUAUUUACUUUGUAUUGAGAGGGAAGGAAAUAUUAAAUCAAUUGUGGCUAAACACAGUCUACACUUAAUAGCAAAUAUUUAUGUUGUAGAUAAAAUAUUUCUUGGUGACAGCUUUUUACUGAAGAGAAUGUUAUUGAAGAUCUUUUCUUCUAUUAUUUAAAUAUACUGCCUAGCUUAUUUUGUAAAACUUCUUGGAAAGAACCUUAAUUACUUCCCAUGCUAAACUUGUUUGGCAAUGUAAGCCUCAUUAAAGAAUAGAUAUUAAAGAACAUUUCUAUUAUGCUUCCUCCAAAUCAUUUGGUCUAAUCCUCUUCUAACCAUAAAACAUCUAAUAUAAAUGCAAAUAUUUGUUAUUACUAAUAACUGUGGAUAGACCCUAUUUAAUAAAUGGCAGGCAUUGCCAAGAAAAUUGUGGCGAGCUCGUAAAUUCAAACAUAGCUGACUUCCAUCAAUCAAAAAUAAAUUGGCUAUGUUUAUCAUAAAGAAAACAAAAGCCCAUUUAAAACACACAAUACUUAAUGAGUUAUAGACUUUAUAUUUGUGAUUGUAUGGGACAACUCAUUCAGACCCCAAAUGCCAGGCUUCUUUCUUCUUAGUCUACUCUUAGUCUACUUAGUCUGCUUGUCUUUGACCAAACAGCAUUAACCCUGCAUAUGGAAAGAACAUAAGGCUUAGUCAGAAGAAUGCUGUUUGAUUCUCAGUACUAGAAUGAACCAGCUAUGUACUGUAGAAUAAUUAGACAACAUAAUACAUUGACAAACAAAUUUUUUUCUUAACUCUAAAUAGCAACUGUUGAACAUUUGCUAUGUGCUGGGCACUGGUAAGUAAACUUUAUAUAAGAUAUCUCAUUAAUUCUCACAGACAACCUUAGAUUUAGACUUUAUCAUUAGUCUCACUUUACAUAUCAAGAAACUAAGGUUUGGAGGGUUUAGUUUACUUGUGUAAAAUGCUAAACCUUGUGAUUUGUAGAGCUGGGAUUCUGAACAGAUCUGGCUCCAGAGUUUGAAUUUGUAAUUAUUCUCCCAUUGUCCCUCACUAUACAUAUUACCUCCAUUUCAGUUUUCUUGGGAAUCGUCUUCAUUUCAAUAUCAAAGGAUUAUAAAAAGGAUAAAAUAAGGAUGCAUAUGCAAGAGUUUAUGUACUUUAAAUAUUAGUAUUCAUUUAACAAAUAAUUAUAAGCAGAUACUAUGCAAGUAGCAAUUGCCACACUGAUUUCAACCAACCCAGCAUAUGGAUACAAACUGUGUAUGGAUACAGAAAGUGUUCUAAAAGUCAGAACUGUCCUCUCUGACACAGAAAUUAAAAAGUUAGCAAUGUAUCCAAAAUAUUUUCAUUACUUUAAUAUCUCCGUCAAUCAUCUGUGAACGUACAUGAAUAUUUUCGAAUUAGUAUGUGUAUCUUCAUUUUGUACCUCUGGGGUAACAAGUUCCAUAUGUUUGUUCUCAACUGAGUUGUCCUUUUGUUUGUAGCUUGAAGUCUCUCUCAAAUUUCAGACAAUGUUUCUGGUAUUCUGAAAAGUUAUGAAUGAGUUUAUAUUCAACUUAUUUAGACCCUUCAUGAUUGCAUAAGCUCCAAUUAUAUCUUUCUAUGUCUUUGUCUUCUCAUGGUCCCAAUCUGAAGAGUCAUGAUAUGUUUGAGACUCUUUUUAGAAAUAUUAAAUAUUGUCU
RNAcentral lists this long non-coding RNA (2519 nucleotides) under Homo sapiens (human). Its description in RNAcentral is "HSALNT0349386". Lineage: Eukaryota; Metazoa; Chordata; Mammalia; Primates; Hominidae. The record is from RNAcentral.